Triticum urartu is the source of this 1109-nucleotide long non-coding RNA. RefSeq lists it as uncharacterized. Lineage: Eukaryota; Viridiplantae; Streptophyta; Magnoliopsida; Poales; Poaceae. The record is from RefSeq and is a predicted model, not a curated record.
CUAAUUUGGGAAUCAAAUAUACCAUACACAUUUUUAACUUCAUCUUACAAAUGAACUUAAAAACUGGAGUUUGAAAUAUGAACAGCCAAGAAAUGUCAUAUGUAGGAUCGGUUAUAAAAAAAUCUUUUGCGGCAUGAGAAAUACAUAAAUGGAUAAAAACAAUUAAAUUCAAUUUACCGGCACUCAAAGACAGAAAUAAAAAUAAAAGCGAUGGGUUCGUGGGCCCCAUCGGUCGUGGUCUAUGGGCCGAGCAGAUUACACCAGGUUACCCGCGAUAGGCUAGAGCCCACUUGAAGGGGAGCCACGGCAUGGGUCGGCCGGGCCGGGCACCUCUGCGAAGCGAAACCCUAACCACCAGCGAAGAGACCUUCCCCACGCCGCCACCUCCCGUCUCAACAGUGAUCACUGAUGGGAAAUCCCCUCCUAUACACCCAUAGAAUCUGAGCACCAACAAACAAUCUUUUCUCGGAUUCCUCUGAUCGAAGCAUGAAGAUGCACCGCGCAUGCAAAAUCUGUGGAGAAAUAGGACACACUGAUAAGGAACACCAAGAUGGAUGCCCCUAUUGUGAAGCGAGUCACUUGGGUGAAGAAUGUCCCACUACGCGAGUCACCUGUUUCAUGUGUGAAGGGACUAACCACAAUCCAGCCCAGUGUCGUCUACUCACCACGACACAAGAAGUGGUUCAGCAACAGAGGAAAGGAAUGAAGAAGGCUGUCCAGGAAAUCAUCAUGAAGAGAAGGGCUUUAGUUACUUGCCAUAAGUGUAGGAGCAAGGGGCACUACGCCAGCGUGUGUCCAGAAGUGAUAACAGAGAGAGAAAGAUGGGCGCGCUACUCCAGCCCGUGUCCAGAAAAGAAAAGAGGGAGAGGGAGAUGGGAAGCUUGGAGCAAACAAGCGCCAUGACUUGUCAGUAGUAAUUUGUUUGAUAUUUUCCUUUGUGUAAGAAUUCAUUCAGUAACUAUUCCAAGGGAGCUAAUGUUAGUUAUUGGAGGAUAGCUAUCUGAGGCAAGCAAUAAGGGUAUUAGGAGACCUUUUAGGUUAUCUUGGAGAUGUUGGGUUGAGACGUGCAAUGGCCAUGGACGAGAGACUUUACACUUCCUGUGUUGUGA